RNAcentral lists this ribosomal RNA (774 nucleotides) under uncultured Neocallimastigales. Its description in RNAcentral is "partial large subunit ribosomal RNA". It matches the Rfam family "Eukaryotic large subunit ribosomal RNA", at positions 18 to 644 of the family's 3401-position model. The record is from RNAcentral. Lineage: Eukaryota; Fungi; Neocallimastigomycota; Neocallimastigomycetes; Neocallimastigales.
UCAGACGAUGCGUCAUGCAUAUCAAUAAGCGGAGGAAAAGAAACUAACAAGGAUUCCCCUAGUAACGGCGAGUGAAGCGGGAAGAGCUCAAAUUUGAAAUCUUAAAGGGUUUCCCUUUACGAAUUGUAGUUUAAAGAAGUGUUUUCUGUUGAGGUUUUGGUAAAAGUUCUUUGGAAUAGGACAUCAUAGAGGGUGAGAAUCCCGUAUUUGACCUUUACUUUCAACUUUGUGAUACACUUUCAAAGAGUCGGAUUGUUUGGGAAUGCAGUCCAAAAUGGGUGGUAAAUUUCAUCUAAAGCUAAAUAUUGGCGAGAGACCGAUAGCGAACAAGUACCGUGAGGGAAAGAUGAAAAGAACUUUGAAAAGAGAGUUAAACAGUACGUGAAAUUGUCAAAAGGGAAGCGUUUGACACCAGUGUUGUUUUUCUGAAAAUCAAUUAAAGAACUGUUUAUGCUAAGCUGUUUAGACUUUAUCAGCUAUCUGUUUAGUUUUGAGCUUUUCUUUAAUGCACUUUUCAGUUAACAAGUCAACAUCAAUUUCUUUUGCUGUAAAAAAGCUUGAGGAAGGUGGCUUGAGAUUCGUCUUAAGUGUUUAUAGCCUCUUGCCUAUGCAGUCGGAGAGAUUGAGGUCUGCAGCGUAGAUCCUUCGGGGCUAAAUGCAUUUGUGCUAAGUUAUAGCAUUUUAUAGACAACUUGUUGACUAUGAUUUGUCUUGUAGCUUACUCGCUUAUGUUAUUUUACCUACGCUUAGGAUGUUGAAUCUGUGCGAGACUAC